Molecule: long non-coding RNA, 1332 nt
Organism: Salvia miltiorrhiza (redroot sage)
Lineage: Eukaryota; Viridiplantae; Streptophyta; Magnoliopsida; Lamiales; Lamiaceae
Exons: 2
Source: RefSeq, a predicted model, not a curated record
UUUAGGGGGGUGUAUUCGUUGUGGAGUUUAAUAGAUUUCUAUGGAUUUUAAAAGUCUGGGUGUAUUCGUUCCAGACUUUUAAAAGUCUGCAGAAAUCUGGGUGUAUUCGUUCAAGACUUUUAAAAGUCCAUAUAAAUCUGGGUGUAUUCGUUUCAGACUUUUUAAAAUCCAUACAAAUCUAGGUGUAUUCGUUAUUCCAUUGACUUCAAAUCCGGAAUGACUUUCAUGGAUUUCAUCCAAAAAAUACACACGACGAAAUCCGGCCAAGAACCACGAGAAUUGAAAUCCAUGGAGUUUUGAGCGAGCGCGGAGUUCCAGCGCCCGCGGCCAAGAAGCCAGCGAGCGCUGGAACUCAGCAUCCGUUGAGAAAGUCCAGCGCUCGCUGGGUUUGAGCGGUCGCUGGAAACACAUAGAAAAGUUAGUAAUCUGCACAAAGAAAUUUUCUCAAACAUUAAUCUCAAGAUUCUCAACAAAAGCAUAUUUGCAAGAAAAGCCAACCUUCAGAAGCUGCUUACGUUAAGCCAAAGAUAAAGAUCAAAAUCUGGACUUGCUGCUUCUCGCAGCCAUAAUUUUGUGUCUUCAAGCAAGAAAAAGACACACACUGGCACACACACAGUGUGUUUUUGGCAACAAAUUUCAACGCCAUUAAAAUAUUAAUAUAAAGAAAUUCACAACUACUACAUCUUUCGCCAUCAUCUUCCUAGAAACACAAGAGAGAGAUGGAGAAAACGAGAAGAAUACAAACUUGAAGCAGAGAUGGGUUGCUGCGAAACGCCCAAGAUUUGGAGCUGCCACGUGGGAUGGUGGUGCGCACCCUCCUCUUGUUCACCACCACCAUCUUCCUAGACCUCAGCGGCGGCGCCUCUUGCAUAGACGGGGCAUCGAUUCCAACAGAGAUUAUCAGUUCCAUAAUUUGCAAAGAAUGAAUCUCUGUUUAAUUCAGCUUUCUGGUUUCUUAGCUCUACCAAUUGAGUAUCUGAUUUGAAGGGAAAGGCGACGAGCAGGAAGAGCUGGAGUCGGUGCAGGAUACCCAGCCAUUGAAGUCUGGUGGGGGAAACAGUUUUAUCAGAUCGGACAAAGCGAAUAUUGAUCUGACGAAGAAGAUGAGGGUUUCUCCGAUUUUGUUCAAGAAAUGGUGUCUCUCGUGAAUGGGUACACUUGCUCUGUUUAAUGAUGUAUUGGGCUUAGUUGGUGAAUUCGCGUGAGAGCUGAGUUAUGAUGAGAUUGAUAUUGAAAAUAGGGAAAAACAUACAGCAUGGAAGAACUGUUUUGGGAGAUGGCACAAGCUUAUGAGAUUCCUAAAUGGACAUGUGAAGAAAACAAGUUCAAAUA